Molecule: transfer RNA, 63 nt
Filed under: Dipodomys ordii (Ord's kangaroo rat)
Lineage: Eukaryota; Metazoa; Chordata; Mammalia; Rodentia; Heteromyidae
Rfam family: tRNA
About the family: Transfer RNA (tRNA) molecules are approximately 80 nucleotides in length. Their secondary structure includes four short double-helical elements and three loops (D, anti-codon, and T loops). Further hydrogen bonds mediate the characteristic L-shaped molecular structure. tRNAs have two regions of fundamental functional importance: the anti-codon, which is responsible for specific mRNA codon recognition, and the 3' end, to which the tRNAs corresponding amino acid is attached (by aminoacyl-tRNA synthetases). tRNAs cope with the degeneracy of the genetic code in two manners: having more than one tRNA (with a specific anti-codon) for a particular amino acid; and 'wobble' base-pairing, i.e. permitting non-standard base-pairing at the 3rd anti-codon position.
Source: Rfam by way of RNAcentral
GGGGAUUUUGCUCAGUGGUAGAGCACUUGCCUUGCAAGUAUGAAGCUUUGGGAUCAGUUCCUA